Molecule: small nucleolar RNA, 141 nt
Organism: Acomys russatus (golden spiny mouse)
Lineage: Eukaryota; Metazoa; Chordata; Mammalia; Rodentia; Muridae
Product: small nucleolar RNA SNORA48
Exons: 1
Source: RefSeq, a predicted model, not a curated record
CCACCUGACGAUGGGCAAAGAGACACUUUAUUGGUAGUGUUGCUCUUCUGUCAACUGAGGCAGAACAAAUGGCAGUCCUUUGUUCAUCCUAGCUUGAUGCUCGCUUGGUGGCCAAACCUGUUUUAUGUCUAGGAUUCAUAA